RNAcentral lists this long non-coding RNA (3261 nucleotides) under Canis lupus familiaris (dog). Its description in RNAcentral is "lncRNA (ENSCAFG00845017520.1)". Lineage: Eukaryota; Metazoa; Chordata; Mammalia; Carnivora; Canidae. The record is from RNAcentral.
UUUUUUAAUAAUUCCAGUCUAUAACUACACUACAAAAUAAGUUAUAAAAAACAAAGAUAAACAUAUAAUAACAAAGUUUUGUUUCAUCCUUCAGUCAUAGUAAUUUCUUUAUUGGUUUACUGUCAAACAUGAUGUUUUAAUAUACCUCUCUUGAAGAGAUAUAUAUAAAUAUAUAUAUAUAUAUAUACUAUAUAUAUAUAUCACCAUAUUAAAGAUUUUAGUAAGUCAAGAAGGAAGGAAACUUGUUUAUCUUUGUUAGUACUAUUUGGAAUGACUAAUAUUAUAUCCCAGUGAAAGCUUUUUUGAAGGAAACAUAACAAAAUAUUUUGAUACACUGGGGUACUUGGGACCAUCUUCUAAAAUCCUCAACUUUCUUCUAGCUUCAGCUUAUUAAAAUAUUUUGUAUAAAAAAUACAAAAAAAUCUGAUAUUUUCACUUUCUGAAUUGUAUAGAAGCACCACAAUCUUUCCACCUACUGUAUAUUCUUCUAAUGCAGGAAAGCCCACUCUAUACUCUAUGCAUGCAGUCCAUUUCUUAGUGCAAAACACUCAUAUCCAAAUAUCUGUGGGGUUUUUUUUUUAUCUUUUAUAGGUAAAAAUCUCACAUCACUCAUUGUCAGGUAAAUACGAAUCAAAACUACAAUGAGAUAUCACCUCACAUUGAUCAGAAUAGCUAAAAUUAACAAGUCAGGAAACGACAGAUAUUGAUGAAGAUGCAGAGUAAAGGGAACCCUCUUACAUGGUUCGUAGGAAUGCAAGCUGGUACAGCCACUCUGAAGAACAGUAUGGAGGUUCCUCAAAAAGUUAAAAAUAGGACUACUGUAUGAUAGAGUAAUUGUACUAGUAGGCAUUUACUAAAGGUCAUGAAAUACUGAUUUGGAGGGGAUGCAUGCACCCCAAUCUUUAUAACAGUAUUAUCAACAAUAGCCAAAUUAUGGAAAGAGCCCAAAUAUCCAUCAACUGAUGAAUGGAUAAAGAAGAUGUGGAUAAAGAAGAUAAAGAUAUAUAUAUUAUAUAUAUAUUAUAUAUAUAUAUAUUAGAAUAUUAUUCAGCCAUCAAAAAGAAUUAUAUCUUGCCAUUUGCAGUGAUAGGGAUGGAACUAGAGAGUAUGCUAAGUGAAUAAGUCAGUCAGAGAAAGACAAGUACCAUAAGAUUUUACUCAUACAUGGAAUUUAAGAAACAAACAUACAUGAAUGAACAUAGAGACCAAAAAAGAGAGAGGCAAACCACAAAACAGACUCCUAACUAUAGAGAACAAACUGAGGGUCACUGGAGGGGAGGUGGGCAUGGGGAUGGGUUAAGUGGGUGAUGGGUAUUAAGGAGGGCACUUGUUUGAGAUGAGUAUUGGGUAUUAUAGGGAAGUGAUGAAUCACUAAAUUCUAUACCUGAAACUAAUAUUACGCUGUAUGUUAACUAAUUGGGUUUUUAAAAAGUAUUUUUAAUUUUAUGUAUUCAUGAGAGACACAGAGAGCCAGAGACCUAGGCAGAGGGAGAAGCAGGCUCCCCACAGCAAGCCUGAUGUGGGACUCGAUCGCAGGACCCCAGGAUCACACCUUGAGCCGAAGGCAGAUGCUCAACCACUGAACCACCCAGGCAUCCCAACUAACUAGAAUUUAAAUAAAAAUGUAAAACUACAAAAAAAUAAAAAUAAAGGUAAAAAUUUGUUUAAAUAACAGUCUGAUGAGUAAUAUACAUUAAUUGUAGAAUAUAUAAAAGAGUAGGAAGAAGAAACUUAACAUUAUUCAUAAACCCACAGCUCAGAGAUAACAGAGCUAAAAUAAAUGUCUAUCCAUUUAUCCAUAUCUUCUAACAUAAAUACAUUUAGGGUACUACUGUGUUUGAAUGUUCUACUAACUUCUUCAAACAUAAUCAUGUGCAUUUUCUCAUAUCAUUAUAUAUUCUUCAAAACCAUGAAUUUGUGACUGUGACAAUAUAUUAUAAAACAUAAUAAAACUCUUUUAACUUACUGUUGAUAUUUAAGUUAUUUCUGGUUAUAUAUAAAUAACACCAUGAAGAAAAACUAGCUUGUAAAUCUUCGUGUGAGAAUCAUUUAUUAUUCCUUCUAUGGGGAAAAAACCUGAGGGGGAAACUAUAAGAUCAAAUGACAUGAUCUUAUAAGGUCAUGGGACUUUUUUAUGCUAUUAGCAUUAAAAUAAAGUGCUCUAAGAUCCCAUCAAUUUGAGUUUCUGCAAAUUAUUGGAAUAGACAUACUGAUGUCCUUAUCAAAAGACACCAGAAAGAAUUUCUGCUUGGUUAUGAUACUGUAGAAAGACAAGCCUUUACCAAUUUCAUUUCCAAAAGGAGCAUGAUCCAAACACUAACCCUGAAGUACCCCAAGGAACACAAUACAAAGAAUCAUCCUAAUGGAACAGAUAGCAAGCAUGUUUGGAAAAGAGACUGCACGGGAGGGAGGUUCAUUAAUAUUGUGAUGUGCUGAAUUUUGUCCCUCUUACCCUUUCAAUCUUGCAUUUCAUCUACCAUCAGAACUGUAUGUCCCCUAAAAAAAGUAUAUGUCAGGGACAACACGUGGAAAUCAGAAAAGGAGGAGGUGUAGAACAUGUCUCUAUUACUUCAAGAAAGUUAUCAGUGAGAUGAGACAGACUCAGUUCCUGGGGAGCUUCCAAAUGUAUUGUUUACCAAUUGAUUCAUCUUAGAAAUGGAACUAUAAAACACUAGGACAAAGGAUGGUCUUGCUUACCAAAUCUGUUCCCCCACAGGGCAGCAUUAUGCAUUUCCAAAACUUUAUAGGCCUCCUUCAAAUGACUCAAGGGAUGGGAAUCUCACCACCUCUCCUGGGAGAUUCUUUUAUGGCCUCUUAAGUCUCACCCAUUAUGAAAGUCUUCCUGAUGAAAGCAUUUUUUUUCUUUUCUUCAGUUCAUUCAUUACCCUUAGAUAAUCCCCUAAAGACCACCUCCGCAAUCCCUCUCCUUCUCUGGGGUUUAUACUUUCAAUUAUCUGCAAAUGGCUAUCAGGCCCCCACCCCACACACAUGCGCAUAUACUCCUUAGCUCUUCAGCCAACCUACACACAUGUAAUUCUUUUAAUCUUUCCUCAUACAUCAAAACCUCCAGCUGCUUAAUCAUUUUAGCUCCUCUAAUAAGCAGCGAAUUUGAAGGGGGAUUAUGGUUUCCUUCUCAAGCUUUUCUCAUGUCAGCUGUAUCCCUUCUCCUCAACCACAUGCCAGAUUUCUGUAUGCCAAUAGCCAUUCAUCAACGGAAAUGAGGGUUUUCUGGAAUGCUGUGUUGUAUAGUACAAAAAAAAA